Molecule: long non-coding RNA, 693 nt
Organism: Piliocolobus tephrosceles (Ugandan red Colobus)
Lineage: Eukaryota; Metazoa; Chordata; Mammalia; Primates; Cercopithecidae
Exons: 3
Source: RefSeq, a predicted model, not a curated record
GUCCAGGCACUCCCACUCCUCCUGACAGAAAUCUACAGCCACAUCCCUGAACAUCAUCAACUGUUGAAAGAACAAGUCCAGGUAUUAAUGUGCUCUGCCAGAUUAGGACAUAGGAGAUACUGAAAGCCCUGGUGGAUAGAUUUGGUCAUACUGGUUGGAGAAAAGAGGUAUCUAGGGAAAGCAUUGGACUGUUUCACAGUCAUUACUUAUGACGCUCAAUAGUGAUUCAAGGGCUCAUCAGAGAAGACAGAGCAAGGUGAGGGGGGAUAUCCUAGCAGAGGAAACAACAUGUGCCAGUCAAGCAAAGGUAUCUUUGUGCAUUCAAGGAACACAGAGUGAGCGGAAAGACCAGUGGCAGAUGGGGAUGUAUAAAGCGGGGAUCCUGUUAUGAAAAGCUCUAAAAGAAAUAGGCUAUAGCAUUUGGACCUUAUUUCAGAAUAAGAAAGCAUUCUGCAGUUUUAAAGUAAGGUUUAAAAAUGUUUCUAAUUAAAGAUAAAACAAAGUUGGUGUGAGAGGGUAAAGACUGAUAUACACAAUCUGAGGAGUUCAUAAAAAUUCCAUGUAAAGCAUGUAGUAUGAAUUGGUCCUAGGAGACAGACAGCUUCAGCGGCAUAGAGAACUUUAAGAACUUUUCCAAGAGUGGCGGGCUGGAGAAUAAAUUGUGAACUAAAAUAUAUUUUGUGUUUGAGAACA